This 484-nucleotide ribosomal RNA is filed under the name uncultured bacterium. RNAcentral's name for it is "partial 16S ribosomal RNA". It matches the Rfam family "Bacterial small subunit ribosomal RNA", at positions 29 to 507 of the family's 1533-position model. The record is from RNAcentral.
AUUGAACGCUGGCGGCAUGCUUUACACAUGCAAGUCGAACGGCAGCGCGGGCUUCGGCCUGGCGGCGAGUGGCGAACGGGUGAGUAAUACAUCGGAACGUGCCCAGUAGUGGGGGAUAGCUCGGCGAAAGCCGGAUUAAUACCGCAUACGACCUGAGGGUGAAAGCGGGGGAUCUUCGGACCUCGCGCUAUUGGAGCGGCCGAUGGCAGAUUAGCUAGUUGGUGGGGUAAAGGCCUACCAAGGCGACGAUCUGUAGCUGGUCUGAGAGGACGACCAGCCACACUGGGACUGAGACACGGCCCAGACUCCUACGGGAGGCAGCAAUGGGGAAUUUUGGACAAUGGGCGAAAGCCUGAUCCAGCAAUGCCGCGUGUGUGAUGAAGGCCUUCGGGUUGUAAAGCACUUUUGGCGGGAACGAAAAGGACUGUGCCAAUACCACGGUUCGAUGACGGUACCCGCAGAAUAAGCACCGGCUAACUACGUG